GGGCAAGGGGCUGAACAAGGGCCAGGAGGGAUCUGGGGGUCCCAUCAGGGUGACAAGGUGACAGGGCUAAAGGACAAGGUACAAAAUACAGGAGGGGUUCAUCCUGGAGAUGUGUCUGAUGUCCCUCUGGGGGAUAGGGCUGCAGAUAAAUAAUCCUACAGCUCAGCUCAGACAGGGGACCUUCUUACAGAUGAUGAUGAUGAAGGCAGUAACAAAUAGCCAAUGUGAACAGUAAUUUUUAAUAUAGUCAUUAACCCUGUUGGAAAGAACUGAAGCUUCCUACUGAAACAUGUGAUGUUUCCUGGCCACUGACCCCAGCAAAAAUGGAAAUGACUCAUAUCAGAUCUACCUUGAAUGUUAGAAGAACUAGGACUGACCCCUGCAGCGCUUCUCGUAUGAUAUUGGGCUCAGGCAAGGUAGCAGCACUGGGACAUCUCAGAGCCCAGGAAUCUUCAGAUGGCCCAAGCUGUCAGUGUGUGACCUUUACCAGGGU
RNAcentral lists this long non-coding RNA (493 nucleotides) under Cyanistes caeruleus (blue tit). RNAcentral's name for it is "lncRNA (ENSCCEG00000009618.1)". Lineage: Eukaryota; Metazoa; Chordata; Aves; Passeriformes; Paridae. The record is from RNAcentral.